GACGAACGCUGGCGGCGUGCUUAACACAUGCAAGUCGAACGGAAAGGCCCUGUCUUUGUGGGGUGCUCGAGUGGCGAACGGGUGUGUAACACGCGAGUAACCUGCCCUUGACUUUGGGUUAACUUCAGGAAACUGUGGUUAAUACCCGCUAGGAGCUCCUGCUGCAUGUUGGUGGAUGGAACGUUCCGGCGGUCGGGGAUCGACUCGCGGCUUAUCUGCUUGUUGGUCGGCUAGUGACUUACCAAGGCUUUGAAGGGUAGCCGACCUGUGAAGGUGACCGGCGACAGUGGGACUGAAAUACGGCCCAGACUCCUACGGUAAGCAGAAGGGGGAAAUAUUGCACGAUGGGCGGAAGCGUAAUGCUAAAACGCCGCGUGCGAGAUGACGGCCUUCGGGUUGUAAACCGCAUUCGACUGUGACGAAGAGUGAGUGACGGUAGCGGGUAAAGAAGCACCGGCUAACUACGUG
This 468-nucleotide ribosomal RNA is filed under the name uncultured bacterium. RNAcentral describes it as "partial 16S ribosomal RNA". It matches the Rfam family "Bacterial small subunit ribosomal RNA", at positions 28 to 507 of the family's 1533-position model. The record is from RNAcentral.